RNAcentral lists this transfer RNA (71 nucleotides) under Hydrosaurus sp. TNHC54902. RNAcentral's name for it is "tRNA-Gln". Lineage: Eukaryota; Metazoa; Chordata; Lepidosauria; Squamata; Agamidae. The record is from RNAcentral.
AUAGAGAAAAAGGAGUCGAACCUUUACCCAAAAAUCCAAAAUCUUUAGUACUUCCAACUAUACUACCCUCU